GAGGUAGGUCCCUCGAAGCCGGCGCGCAGGGCGCAGACUUCAAACCACCUUAAGCGGCUUGGGUUAAGAGCUCCGGUCGUGAGCGUUAAGGAAAAGGCGGAAAGUAAUCCGUCAGGU
Molecule: non-coding RNA, 117 nt
Organism: Deltaproteobacteria bacterium
Lineage: Bacteria; Pseudomonadati; Myxococcota; Myxococcia
Source: Rfam